ACAGCAGCGUGGGGAGCGAGCUCUGCCGGACAACCCGCUGCUCUGCAAACCACUGAGGCUCUACAGGAACUCGCUUUGCCUCUAUCUCCUUUUAUUCCACACCCCACCCUCCCGCCGCUCCCCCUUCCUGACAUUCUUUCCCUUCCUGGAAUGGGCCACCUGACGCCAGUGUCUUUGGGACCCCGAGUCUGCAUUCCUGGCAAGCCCGCAGGUGAAUCAGAUAGCAUUAAAACCCGAGAACCACCGCCGUCAGGUACGUUGGGAACCCAAGCCUUGAGCCCCAGAGACGGAAACUCUGUUCCAGAGUUCCCAGGAUGACGAAUGACACAUCCGGGAGGAUCAAACCGGUCCGAGAAUCAUGAAAAUCCCUUGACAGAAGGUGCAAGAGAGCUAGAUGGCUGUUGAUGAAUCAGUAAGGAUAUAAGGAAGAAUUACGGUGAAAUGAACGGAGGACGGAGACAGUCUUCAAUGCCACCCGUGUCCUGAAAACCGUGUAGUCGGCUUAUGUAGCAUCACACGCUGGUAAAUGUCUUCUGCCUUCCCGAGUGUGCUCCAGUGUUUGUCAGGACCCGGACAAAGUUGGCGUCAAUGAUGGAUGCCAGUCACAUCUGGGGAGGUCAGAGGUCAGGGAGGGAAGGGGGGGUGGGGCCCAACAUCCCAGGUUGUGUUGUGUUGUGCUAACCUCAAUUUCCAGGAAAUGACUUCAGGAUGAGUAAAAAGUUUGUUGGCCCUCAGUAGAGUCACAAUGAAUUGAAAUAAAAUGAAUGAAUGAA
Long non-coding RNA from Leopardus geoffroyi (Geoffroy's cat), 773 nucleotides. RefSeq lists it as uncharacterized. The transcript has 2 exons. The record is from RefSeq and is a predicted model, not a curated record. NCBI's taxonomy places the organism in Eukaryota, Metazoa, Chordata, Mammalia, Carnivora, Felidae.